Molecule: ribosomal RNA, 360 nt
Filed under: uncultured bacterium
Lineage: Bacteria
Description: bacterial SSU rRNA
Rfam family: Bacterial small subunit ribosomal RNA
Source: RNAcentral
GCAGCCGCGGUAAUACGAAGGUGGCAAGCGUUGUUCGGAUUCACUGGGCGUACAGGGAGCGUAGGCGGUUAGGUAAGCCCUCCGUGAAAUCUCCGGGCCUAACCCGGAAAGUGCAGAGGGGACUGCUUGGCUAGAGGAUGGGAGAGGAGCGCGGAAUUCCCGGUGUAGCGGUGAAAUGCGUAGAGAUCGGGAGGAAGGCCGGUGGCGAAGGCGGCGCUCUGGAACAUUUCUGACGCUGAGGCUCGAAAGCGUGGGGAGCAAACAGGAUUAGAUACCCUGGUAGUCCACGCCUUAAACUAUGGAUACUAAGUGUCGGCGGGUUACCGCCGGUGCCGCAGCUAACGCAGUAAGUAUCCCGCC